This 253-nucleotide ribosomal RNA is filed under the name uncultured bacterium. Its description in RNAcentral is "partial 16S ribosomal RNA". It matches the Rfam family "Bacterial small subunit ribosomal RNA", at positions 524 to 776 of the family's 1533-position model. The record is from RNAcentral.
UACGUAGGGGGCAAGCGUUGUCCGGAAUUAUUGGGCGUAAAGCGCGUGUAGGCGGCUCGGUAAGUCUGCUGUGAAAGUCCAGGGCUCAACCCUGGAACGCCGGUGGAUACUGUCGAGCUCGAGUCCGGAAGAGGCGAGUGGAAUUCCUGGUGUAGCGGUGAAAUGCGCAGAUAUCAGGAGGAACACCAAUGGCGAAGGCAGCUCGCUGGGACGGUACUGACGCUGAGGAGCGAAAGCUAGGGGAGCAAACGGG